RNAcentral lists this ribosomal RNA (502 nucleotides) under uncultured bacterium. RNAcentral describes it as "partial 16S ribosomal RNA". It matches the Rfam family "Bacterial small subunit ribosomal RNA", at positions 899 to 1397 of the family's 1533-position model. The record is from RNAcentral.
ACUCAAAUGAAUUGACGGGGGCCCGCACAAGCGGUGGAGCAUGUGGUUUAAUUCGUCAUUAACCGAAGAACCUUACCAGGGUUUGACAUCUAGGGAAUCCUGAUGAAAGUCGGGAGUGCCCCCAAAAGGGGAGCCCUAAGACAGGUGUUGCAUGGCUGUCGUCAGCUCGUGUCGUGAGAUGUUGGGUUAAGUCCCGCAACGAGCGCAACCCUCAUCCGAUGUUGCCAGCGUAAAGUCGGGAACUCUUCGGAAACUGCCCGUGUAAGCGGGAGGAAGGUGAGGAUGACGUCAAGUCGGCAUGGCCCUUACGCCCUGGGCUACACACAUGCUACAAUGGACGUUAACAGAGGGAUGCAAUACCGCGAGGUGGAGCCAAUCCAAAAAUACGUCCUCAGUUCGGAUUGCAGUCUGCAACUCGACUGCAUGAAGUCGGAAUCGCUAGUAACCGCAGGUCAGCUAAACUGCGGUGAAUACGUUCCCGGGCCUUGUACACACCGCCCGU